Molecule: non-coding RNA, 5869 nt
Organism: Oryctolagus cuniculus (rabbit)
Lineage: Eukaryota; Metazoa; Chordata; Mammalia; Lagomorpha; Leporidae
Source: RefSeq, a predicted model, not a curated record
AGACACAGAGAAGUCAUCUACCUGCUGGUUGCCUCCCCAAGUGGCCAUAAUGACUGUGGCUGGGCCAGGCUGCAGCCAGGAACCAGGAACUCCAUCUGGGUCCCCCUUGUGGGUACAGGGCCCAAGCACCUGGGCCAUCUUCCCUGCUUUCCCAGGCGCAUUAACAGGAAGCUGCAUUGGAAGUGGAGCAGCUGGGACUCACACUGGUGCCAUAUGGGAUGCUGGCCUUGCAGGCGGUAGCUUUACCCACAACACCACAGUGCUGGCCCUGAUAAAUUUGACUAUGUAAAAAAUAGGCUUGGGAGCAGACAUUGUGGUGCAGUGGGUUAAGCUGCCUCUCAGGACCCUGCAUCCUAUACUGGAGUGUCAGUUUAAAUCCUGGCUGCUCCAUUCUGACUCGGCUUCCUAACACACUAGGAAGGCAGUGGGUGAUUCCCAAGUACUUGAGUCCCUGCUGCUCACGUGGGAGACUUCGAUGCAGUUCUAGGCUCCUGGCUUUGGCCUUACCCAGCCCCAUUUGUUGUGGGCAUUGGGAGGGGAGUGAACCAGUGGAUGGAAGACCUUUGUGUGUGUGUGUGUGUGUGUGUGUGUGUGUGUGUCACUCUGCCUUACUGGCUGGGACUGAUCUGGAUAGAAAACAGGAGAUUCUUUGGGUCUCCCACGUGGGUGUAGGGUCCCCAGCACCUGGGCCGUCCUCCGCUGCUUGCCCAGGCACAUUAGCAGGGAGCUGAUUGGAAGUGGAGCAGCCGGGAUGGGAAUCAGUGCCCAUCUGGGGUGUAGGUGUUGCAGGCAGAGGCUUAGCCAUGUCCAUCACAAUUCAACCCCCAAAAAUCUUUGAAAAAAGUAGGUUUUACCAAGCAAAAAUUACUGUAAAAAGUCAAAAGACAAAGGAGCAGUAUUUUCAACGUGUAACAAACAGAGCUCCUGUCCUUGCUCGAGCAGCCCGCGUGUUAGGAGAAUGCCUCAAGGAGUGUAGACAGGAGGGAGCAAGAAGCGUAGACAGGAGGGGCCCGGAGUCCAGGCUCCUGUCGGGUGGAGCGGGGGCACAGGCAGCUCCUGGGCUUCGCCAUGUUCCCGCUGAAAUAGCCGUCUGAAUUCUCCGUCUCCCCAUCUCUGAAUUGCACACCGAGACCUCCCCGGAUGUGGCUGAGCUACCAAGAAAUCCCUGUUGGAGGUUUCACUGGCCGGAGUGUGUGUUUUCUCAGGCCGCCUUAACACAGCACCACCCACCAGGGGCUUGAAGCAGCGUGAGGUUCUCUGCUGAGUUCUGCAGGCCGGGGUUGAGAGUCCGAGCCUCAGCCCUGCGCCCUCGGAAGGCACCACAGCGGGACGGGACCCCUCGCCUGCACCUCGGAGCUUCCUGGGCGGGCACCCUUUGCCUGGAGGCGGCGGACCUCUGCCUCUUCCUGUGUUCUGCAUCCCUGCAUUCUCUCUUUAUCUCGUGUGAGAUGUAGGGCCCGCCCUCUACCACUGAUGAUUUUGCCUUGAGAUCCUUAACUAACGACUUCUGCAAAGACCUUGUUUUGGACAAGAUCAGGGCCUGGGGCUUGGUGUGCAUUUAAGACACUGCCGAGCUCCUGCGCCCCGUAAGAAGAACCUGGGUUCCCGUCUCAGCUCUGCUCUGGAUUCCAGCAGCCUGCUAAGGCACCUGCGAGGCAGCAGAUGAUGGCUCAGGUGCUUGGGCCUCUGCCACCCAUGUGGGACAGCCAGAUGGAGGUCCUGGUCCUGGCUUCAGCCUGGCCCGGCCCGGUCCUGGCAAUGGGGGAGUGACCAGUGGACGGGAGAUUUGUCUCUCUGCUUCUCUCUGUCCCUGUUUCUCAGAUGGAAUGAAGGAAGGAAGGAAGGAAUACGAUUGGGGUGAGUGCCCAGCAGUUGAGAUGCUGGUUAAGAAGCCUGCAUUGCAGGCUGGAGGAUCCGGGUGCAAAUGUUGGCUCUGCUCCAACCCCAGCGUCCUGCUGAUGGGCGCCCUGGGAGGCGGCAGUGACGGCUCAACUAGCUGAGGCCCUGCACGCACGUGGGAGACCAAGACUGAGUUCCUGGCACCUGCGUUCCCUGGGGCCUACGUGGGCAUCAGGGGAGUGAAUGACUGGAUGGGAAUUUCUCUCUCUCUCUAAUAAAUAACUAAAAUCAUACACUGAAUUCUGGGAGGAACACGCCUCCACCUGUUUCCCUGAGCCUUUUCAGUGGCAGAUGAUAGGAAGUUCCGUGCAGCUCGCUCAAACAAGUCAUCGAUAGCAGUCACAGCCAUCCACACGCAGAAAUCCAUCCCUGCGCUUAGCAGCCUAAGCAGAAAACUCAUGCAUGUCGUUGGCUUUGACCACAUUACAAGUCCGACUCCAAGCCCAUUGCUGCUGUCAGCCUGGGGUAUUUGUCUUAGCUCCACAGCCAGGGGGAGGUUCCGUUCUGUUGAGAGCACAGCCUGACGUUGUCCUCAGAUCCUGUGACUAGGAGAAGGGUGAAUGGGGGCCAGGAAAACGCAAGCCCUCCACUGGAAUCCACUAGGUCUUCCCCGUGGCCCGCGAGCUCUUGGUUGUCAUGUCUGCAUUCCAGGGCCUUGGAGAGCAUCAGGCUCUCAAGUAAAUAUUUGAGUUGUUUUUGAAUAUUUAACGUGAUUCAGUCUCUGAGGACUUAAUCCAUCCUAAAUUGGAGGCCCAGCAUCUGAACCAUGGUGACCCCUCCCAUGGAGAUACUGCUUUUCGUCAGGCCCUGUUUAGGUAGACCAGCUGGCCAUCUGUUAUGUAACCAUUCACUUAGAAACUUCCGUGAAAGGGAACCGAGAAGGGUUCGGCUCAUGUUUAGGCAAGAAACAGAAGUGGAGGUGAAAUUGAGGAACAAAGAAGGACGUCUCCAGCUCUCCGCUGUGUCCUAACACACUUGCAAACAUCACCGCCGAGUUAGAGCAGUUACCCCUGGGACCUUGGUGGAGAACACAGGAUUCUGGAUUUAGCCCUGUGUCGUCCAGUGGGGUAGCCUGAAGUGUUGUGCCUUGAACACCCACAGAGGGACCUUGUGUCCCAAACACGACAAGAGCCGAUGCCUGGGGGGUGAAAUCACAGCCCUAAGCCAGACCACGCUGGACUCGGGAACCACACUGGGGGGUGAAAUCACAGCCCUAAGCCAGAGCACGCUGGACUCGGGAACCACACUGGGGGGUGAAAUCACAGCCCUAAGCCAGAGCACGCUGGACUUGGGAACCACACUGGGGGGUUAAUUUGCUGACCCAGAUGUAGCUUGCAGCCCACAAAACCUCAUGCCACAGCAAAGCGCUUUCUUGUGCUGAGCCAGCUGGUGGAGCGUGAUGUUGCAAUGGCUCAGUUCUCAGUAAGGGAUCUGAAGAAAGGGGCAGGGCCACAGCCCGAGCCCACAGCCCCGAGAGGUCUUCCUGUUUACUAUGUGGGUGAGAGGGGAACCUUCUGUCUGUGGGCCCUGGGGUUUCGACAGAAGGCACAGGCUGGGACUUGGGUUUGAACUGUGUGUACACAGUCCACACUUGAUGGCCCGGCAGCUGGACUUGGGGUGAGACUUCAGAUUUAAUUCCAUGGCCCCAAAGCGUGUUUGGAAAUUGGCCUUUAGACUGUGUGAACAGGGCCAGCACUGGGGCUCGGCAGGUUAAGCUGCCACCUGCAACACUGGAAUCCCAUAUGAGUGCCAGUUCAAGUCCCGGCUGUGUCACUUCCAAUCCAGCCCCCUGCUGCUGUGGCUGGGAAAGCCAGGGAGGGUGGCCCAAGUCCUUGGGCCCCUGCCACCCACGUAGGAGGCGGAUGAGGCGCCUGCUCCUGGCUGCAGCCUGCUAUUGCAGCCAUUUGGGGAGUGAACCAGCGCAUGGGAGAUUCUCUCUCUUUCUCACUCUGCCUUUCAAAUAAAUAAUAAAUUUUUACCAGAAAAGACUGUGAACCAAGUCACAUUUCUCCUUGACUUCAAUUUUUUUUAAAAAAGAUGUAUUUAUUAUUUUAAAGGCAGAGAGACAUUGAUGUUCCCCCAAAUUCCCACAGUAGCUGGGACUGGGCCAGGCUGCAGCCAGGAGCCAGGAACGCCAUCCAGAGCUCACAUCAGCAGGAAGGUGGAUUGGAAACAGAGUAACUGGGACUCAGGCGGCCUCUGGACACAGGAUGCAGGCCUCCCAGUGCGUGUGAGCCCGCCGCGUCACCUGCUGCGUCACCUGCUGCGUCACCCGCCGCGUCACCACGCCUGCCCUUGUCUACACUGGCAGCUAGGAACAGGUUUGCGUGGAGCCGAGGGCUGUGCGGGCUGGGAGGUCUCCCUGUGAAACAGCAGCUGCUCGGUGUGGACCUCGCCUCUCCCUCAAGCCCCGCCAACAUGGUGAGUUGUUUCAGGUAUUCUAUUGCUGUGAUGAGAAGCUGCCUCGUGCAGGGGUGAGGCGCUCAUUCUUCCCAUCCUGUCUCCUGGACACCGGCAGACAAGUUUAAACCUGAGAGCGAGUCUGGGGAACUCUGCUGAGGACGCUGACCACUGAGAAAGGGAGAAGGAGACCCCGUCGAACGUGAGUGCCCAACGUGCAUUCACAUCUUGUUUAUGUCAAGGUUUGAGGAACGUCAAGGAAGAAAGAAGUGGCGAUUCAGCCGGGCCCCAGCGAUGCCAAGCGAUGCCAAGCGAUGCCAAGCGAUGCCAAGCGAUGCCAAGCGAUGCCAGAUGACUUAGGAGACCUGGAGGAAAACCUUGCAAAAAGAGGCAGAUGUCCUGAGUGCGCACGGAUGAGACACCCCAGGACAGCCGGGAGGCCAGUGAGCCCUGGCGAAGAUGGCACGGGACAGGCACGGGGCUGGGCGCGGCUGAGGUGGCUUUGGGGAGCUGAGAUUUUACUCCAGAGGCAUUGGCAAGCUGCCGUUACUUCUUUCUUUUGCACUUAAAUCCAUUUUUAUUUAUAGUACAGCAAUAAAGUACGCAGCGUGACGAGUUUCAACACCCAGGCACACACUCACACAGCCGUCACCCAGAUGAGGAAUGUUCCUGGCUUCUGCGAGGUGCUCUACUAGCUACGGGAAAGCAAGUGCAAAGGAAACAGGCGAGGUGCUGGUGGAGGAUUUAGUGAAGCCCAAAGUAUUAUUUAUCGAUGCUGAAAGUAUCAAUGAGCUGCUACCCUUCUUCCUUACCAGGCCUCUGGAGUCCAGUGUUUGCUUUGCACUCACCGCCUGGCCAGUGUAGCCAGCCACGACCUGGGUGGCCAGGCACUCGGGUACUGGACAGCGCAGGUGCAGAAGGCUGGGGCUCCAAGGCUGAGCAGCAAGCACUGAGAGGAACAGAAACUGUCCGAGGCAGGCCUCGCCUGUAUUCACAGUGUAACUGCUUUGUUUUUCUGAAAGCAAAGUUCGCUCACGCCCAGUCUCAGUUCCCUAACCCUGUAUCCCCUAAGGUCUCAGAUUACUCAACACAGGAUACUGCCACAGGGUCUGGUUCCCUCCCAGGCUGCCUUGUGAAGGGGGAGUUCUGCACCGCCCGAGGCAGCAGGCACAGCUGAAGGACGGGUCCUCUCCCCAGCCUCCAGCCUCCAGCCUCCUCCCUGAGUUGGCGCAGAUGUUCACAUGGGAGCCUUCCUCAGGCUCUGGGCUAAAGCUCGCAGGCAGCACAGUGCGUGCCCGGGGCCGUCCGAACCCCCGUCCACGCCCAUGGUCCCCUGGCCGCUGAGCCUCAUCCGCGGGGCCCCAGAGGCCCAGAGCCUUCCAUGGCCAGGUGGCAGGACUCCGCGGGCCUGGCUGGGCGAAUCCCCGGGGAGCAACCCUCCUGUUGACAGCAUCACGGUAGCCAGGGGCAGCGGGACGGCGGGGGCCGCACUGCUGCUUCCUCAGGGCCGGGAUGGUGGCGGAGGCUCAGAUGCAGGCUUGAGGCCCCUUGGGUGUAGCCUACCUGAGGG